RNAcentral lists this ribosomal RNA (433 nucleotides) under uncultured bacterium. Its description in RNAcentral is "partial 16S ribosomal RNA". It matches the Rfam family "Bacterial small subunit ribosomal RNA", at positions 29 to 507 of the family's 1533-position model. The record is from RNAcentral.
AACGAACGCUGGCGGCAUGCCUAACACAUGCAAGUCGAGCGAGACCUUCGGGUCUAGUGGCGCACGGGUGCGUAACGCGUGGGAACCUGCCCUUAGGUUCAGAAUAACUCCCCGAAAGGGGUGCUAAUACCGGAUAAUGUCUUCGGACCAAAGAUUUAUCGCCUUUGGAUGGGCCCGCGUUGGAUUAGCUAGUUGGUAGGGUAAAAGCCUACCAAGGCGACGAUCCAUAGCUGGUCUGAGAGGAUGAUCAGCCACACUGGGACUGAGACACGGCCCAGACUCCUACGGGAGGCAGCAGUGGGGAAUAUUGGACAAUGGGCGAAAGCCUGAUCCAGCAAUGCCGCGUGAGUGAUGAAGGCCUUAGGGUUGUAAAGCUCUUUUACCCGGGAUGAUAAUGACAGUACCGGGAGAAUAAGCUCCGGCUAACUCCGUG